UGAAACCGUUUAGGGGUAAACCUGAGAAACCCGAAAGGUCGAAGGGAGAAAUUCAUUCGCGUUUCGCAGUCGGCGUGAGGCGAUCGAGUGACGGAAUGCAUCCUCGGAUGUUUUCUGCACCUUUCGUUUUUCGAUCCGAUAGCGAACGCGUGCACUUUUCUCCUGGUAGGACGUCGCGAUCCGUUGGGUGUCGGUCUACGGCUCACGGUGGAGCCCGGAUGUACGGCUUGCCGUCACGUCCGGACCCGUGUGUCCCGGCUGACUCGCUCGACGGUAUACGAAAGGUUUAAGGCCGCUCUCGCGAGCGUUCGGCUCGUCGCAAGCGCGUCAAAUGUGUCGGUGAUCGGACCUAGUGCCGGUUCUGACCUUUGGCGACUGUUGGCGGCGAAGUUCUCSAACAGUGCUUUAUCCAAUCUGCGACGCU
RNAcentral lists this ribosomal RNA (424 nucleotides) under Liophloeus liptoviensis. RNAcentral's name for it is "partial large subunit ribosomal RNA". Lineage: Eukaryota; Metazoa; Arthropoda; Insecta; Coleoptera; Curculionidae. The record is from RNAcentral.